AGCAGCCGCGGUAAUUCCAGCUCCAAUAGCGUAUAUUAAAGUUGUUGCAGUUAAAAAGCUCGUAGUUGAAUUUCGGGGUUAGUAGGUUGGUCGUGCCUAUGGUAUGUACUGGCUUUACUGAUUCCUCCUUCUUGAAGAACUGUAAUGUCAUUAAUUUGGUGUUGCAGGGACACAGGACUGUUACUUUGAAAAAAUUAGAGUGUUUAAAGCAGGCUAACGCUUGAAUACAUUAGCAUGGAAUAAUGAAAUAGGACGUUUGAUCCUAUUUUGUUGGUUUCUAGGAUUGACGUAAUGAUUAAUAGGGAUAGUUGGGGGCAUUAGUAUUCAAUUGUCAGAGGUGAAAUUCUUGGAUUUAUUGAAGACUAACUACUGCGAAAGCAUUUGCCAAGGAUGUUUUCAUUAAUCAAGAACGAAAGUUAGGGGAUCGAAGACGAUCAGAUACCGUCGUAGUCUUAACCAUAAACUAUGCCGACUAGGGAUCGGAUGAUGUUAAUUUUUUAAUGACUCAUUCGGCGCCUUACG
This 522-nucleotide ribosomal RNA is filed under the name uncultured Glomus. RNAcentral's name for it is "SSU rRNA". It matches the Rfam family "Eukaryotic small subunit ribosomal RNA", at positions 569 to 1092 of the family's 1831-position model. The record is from RNAcentral. Lineage: Eukaryota; Fungi; Glomeromycota; Glomeromycetes; Glomerales; Glomeraceae.